AACGAACGCUGGCGGCAUGCCUAACACAUGCAAGUCGAACGAGACCUUCGGGUCUAGUGGCGCACGGGUGCGUAACGCGUGGGAACCUGCCCUUAGGUUCGGAAUAACUCCCCGAAAGGGGUGCUAAUACCGGAUAAUGUCUUCGGACCAAAGAUUUAUCGCCUUUGGAUGGGCCCGCGUUGGAUUAGCUAGUUGGUAGGGUAAAAGCCUACCAAGGCGACGAUCCAUAGCUGGUCUGAGAGGAUGAUCAGCCACACUGGGACUGAGACACGGCCCAGACUCGUACGGGAGGCAGCAGUGGAGAAUAUUGGACAAGGGGCGCAGGCCUGAUCCAGCAAUGCCGCGGGAGUGAUGAAGGCCUUAGGGUUGUAAAGCUCUUUUACCCGGGAUGAUAAUGACAGUACCGGGAGAAUAAGCUCCGGCUAACUCCGUG
RNAcentral lists this ribosomal RNA (433 nucleotides) under uncultured bacterium. RNAcentral describes it as "partial 16S ribosomal RNA". It matches the Rfam family "Bacterial small subunit ribosomal RNA", at positions 29 to 507 of the family's 1533-position model. The record is from RNAcentral.